This 440-nucleotide ribosomal RNA is filed under the name uncultured bacterium. RNAcentral describes it as "partial 16S ribosomal RNA". It matches the Rfam family "Bacterial small subunit ribosomal RNA", at positions 338 to 795 of the family's 1533-position model. The record is from RNAcentral.
CCUACGGGUGGCAGCAGUGGGGAAUAUUGCACAAUGGGCGAAAGCCUGAUGCAGCCAAGCCGCGUGAGUGAAGAAUUAUUUCUGUAUGUAACGCCCUAUCAGCAGGGGAGAAGAUGACGGUACCUGAAUAAGAAGCCCCGGCUCACUACGUGCCAGAAGCCGCGGGUCUACGUCGGGGGCAGGCGUUAUCCGGAUUUUCUGGGGGUAAAGGGGGCGCAGAGGGCAGUGCAAGUCUGGAGUGAAAGCCCUGGGCCCAACCCCGAAACUGCCCUGGAAACUGUGCGGCUAGAGUACUGGAGAGGCAGGCGGAAUUCCUAGUGUAGCGGUGAAAUGCGUAGAUAUUAGGAGGAACACCAGUGGCGAAGGCGGCCUGCUGGACAGUAACUGACGCUGAGGCACGAAAGCGUGGGUAGCAAACAGGAUUAGAUACCCGUGUAGUC